UGAGUAAUCUGCCCUUCACUCUGGGAUAAGCUUCGGAAACGGGGUCUAAUACCGGAUACGACCAGCCUCUGCAUGGGGUGUUGGUGGAAACUUUGUGGGUGGGGGAUGUGCUCGCGGCCUAUCAGCUUGUUGGUGGGGUAAUGGCCUAUCAAGGCUUCGACGGGUAGCCGGCCUGAGAGGGUGACCGGCCACACUGGGACUGAGACACGGCCCAGACUCCUACGGGAG
This 228-nucleotide ribosomal RNA is filed under the name uncultured bacterium. RNAcentral's name for it is "partial 16S ribosomal RNA". It matches the Rfam family "Bacterial small subunit ribosomal RNA", at positions 118 to 347 of the family's 1533-position model. The record is from RNAcentral.